Gallus gallus (chicken) is the source of this 3783-nucleotide long non-coding RNA. RefSeq lists it as uncharacterized. The record is from RefSeq and is a predicted model, not a curated record. The transcript is spliced from 3 exons. Lineage: Eukaryota; Metazoa; Chordata; Aves; Galliformes; Phasianidae.
GCCCGCCGCGGGAGCCGCCGCGGGGCGGGGCGCUGCGGCUCUGAGUGACAGCAACGUGGGCCAAUGGGAGGCAGGGCGCGGACCAAUCAGCGCAGCGCCGGAGGCAAAGAGGGGGGAGGAACAAAACCUUCAGCUACGGAGCAAACUUGUCUGGAACCCAAGUGAGAUUUGGGGUCUGACGGCCGCCUCGCACGUGACAGCUGGGUGCGGAGCUGGGCUGCCUGCUGGCUCUGGGAAGAAAGUUGCACGAACGCUUCUUGUCGGCUUCCAUCUGCAAAGCCAGAUUUUAAGAAAACUUGCGUCGGGCUGCACAACUCAGGCUUCAAACAACAAACCCAGCCAGCUCUUCUUCUUCGGGCUGACGGUUGGACUUGCAUGAUGGAAAGAGAAGUGACCUGAUGCUACCUUUCUGCAAGACCUGCACGCUGUACUUGGAUAGAAAGACCUUAAAAUGCACCCAGGACCUUCAUGAAGCCUUGACACUCAUCAGGUGCAGCGGGCACCCUGUGAAGGCUUCUCAUGCAAAACCACUGCAGGGGAAAGGGAUGUUGUGCUUACAGGAGCUCAGCUCUGAAGAAAAAAGGCAAGCACAGCCUCUAUUCACACACACGGACCUCAGGAGUCAAUAGAAGGAAGAACACUCACAGUUGAUGUGUGAGCUGCCAGCCAGGCUGACAGAACUCUCUCAAGCCCAGCUUGUGCUGUAACCACGUCUGCACUGUAUUGCAGUUCCUAAUGCAGAGCAGUGGCUCUCAGCCCCACUCUGAGCUGACAGGUGUGGCUGGACAGAGGUAGCAGCACUGCAUACAGCAUCGGCUGGAUGGCCCACGUCCCCAGGGCUGGUGUCCUUGUGCCUUGCUAGCAGUGACAGAUGAGGAUGUGCAACCUCCCCAUCAUGCUGACAGGGAGAAGUUCUCUUCAUAUCUAAAGCAGUCUUCAACCACGACGAUGUCUCUCCUGCCUCCUUUCUCAGAGAGGACAGCAGUAACACCAACCAGCUCUAACAUCCCAUGUAAGAGGCAUCCAGGUGCACGGACAAAGCCCAGAUGGAUCCGCUGAGACAUCGGACCUCCUUCUAUCCACCAGCUGAUGGACGCCACCUUGAAAGCAGAAUUAAUUGCUCACACCAACAGACUGCUCAAUCCACCACUGCACCUCCAAGUGACCAUAGAACUACAAUGAAAAUUCAUGCCUUUGACAUGAAACAUAUCCAGACGAAGGAGACAGCCCUGGCACUUCUCCUUCCACCCAUCUCCACCCAUCACCUUGCUGCAUCGCAGCACUGCUCCCAGAGAUGCUCCCAAGGUCACUGCUAAGUGCAGUAAAAAUCGGGGGGGGGAAUUUCCCUACAGCAGCUUCGGAAUUAAGUCCUUUUAUCUUCCUAUUAAAAUGCUUCUCACAGAGAGCAAGGCAACAAAGGGCAAAUGCAGGGCACAUGCGGCACACAGCACCUGGGGGCCAGCCCUGCUUGCAGAAUGGCUUUUCAGAAGGAAAGGGGACAAAUGAAGUGGGAGCAGCAGCUCCUCUCCUGAAUCCAUUUCCGGAUGUGGCAAACCACUCUCUGAGCACUGAGCUCUCCACAAGAACUACAUUCAGACUGCAAAGACUGGCACACAAUUUCACCCAAAAUCUCAUUUUGAGACAAAGACAAUUCUGCUUCUCUCUCACUCCACGUGGCAGUGAUACGACCUCAGUACCAGCGAUGCUCCCAACCCUGUCGCAUAAACCCACCACAGUUCAUCACACACCAGCUCCUCCUUUAUCUGAUGGAGGAGAACAACACUUCUGUCCAAGGUAAACUUUACGCCUGCUCUAGGUCUGAAGCUUUCCUUUUUUCCUUCCACUUCUUUUAUAUCAAAUCUUUUUCUACAUGCCACUGACUGUUCUAAUAGGAGAUGCAUCUAGGAAAGUGCCACCAUGGGGACCAGAAAAAUGGCCCUUCCACAUUGCCUCUUUGCCCCCACGACAAUUAGUGGUAUCUCCCCAGGAGGCUCGGGUUGGAUAUUAGGAAAAAUAUCUUCUCCAAAAGAGCUGUCAGGCACUGGCACAGCUGCCCAGGGAGUUGGGGGGGGGGGGGGGGAAGGGAGAGGGGGGGGUCCACCAUCCCUGGAGGUGUUCCAGAACCGUGGAGAUGUGGCACUGAGGGAUGUGCUCAGUGGGCAUGGUGGGAUGGGUUGGGGUUGGACUUGGGAUCUUAGAGGUCUUUUCCAACCUUAGGGAUCCUAUGAUUUCACGAUUCAGCGCCUUCCACGGGUACAACAUUAACUCUUCAAAGGUUCUUGAAUCCCAGCAGCACGCAUCCAAAGCAUCCACGUUUUCACAGGUAGAGGAACCAGAGCAGAGAUGUUCCAGGACUUCUCAGACAUGUAACAUGACAAAGGCCAGUACUGACAUGACAACCAGACCUUAGAGCCAAGCCCAUUUCCUUCCCAUAAGCUAACCAGGCCUUAGGUGGAUGCACAGUCCAAAAGUGGGCAUGGUGGUGAUGGGCUGACAGUUGGACGUGGUCAUCCUAGAGGUCUUUUCCAACCUUUAAUGAUUCUAUGACUCUACUGACAGAGAACCCCAGGAUUACACUUUGCUCAUUGCCUAAUUUUACCCUUUGGGAUAGCAGGACACUUCUCUUUCCAUGAAACAUUAACAAAGACCUGGCUAUCUACAGAUUUUGACCAAGGUUAUCUGUCAGAGAAUGAAUAACCCAGUUAAGGAGGAUUUAAAAGCCUGACUCCGUAAAGGAAAAUACCUUAAAAAAAAAAUCAUAUAACAAAUCCCUCUCUUGACAGUCUUUGCUCCCAGUGUCAUUUUGCUCAUCAAACCCACACUAUCUCUGUGCAGAAGAACUGGAGCUCAGUUAAGCUUUGUCACAGAGGUAAGGCUGAUCCGAUUGCUGCUAGCAGAACCAGGUCCCCACAUAAAUCAUGAGUUUCCAACACAGGGAACGUGAUCCUUGAUAUUCUGGACAGAUGGAGCCCAUGGCAACCUCCUCCUCCCAGGAGCAAACCAGAUGAAUCAGAGAACGCAGAGCCACCACACGCCAUGCCCUAAACACUGCAUCUUUGCUUCACUGCAUUCCUACAGCAAAAGACAGACCUAGGAGGAGGAAAUAAACCUUUCUUUCUUCUGACACACCACCACAGUGUGUCCUUCCCAUCACCCUGGAGGUGAAGUCCCAGGGAAUGGAGAAUGGUGUUUUGACACUGCCCUGCUGAAACUACUGGUUUUUAUUUUUGGCUAUGGAGAGAAGAAAAGUUUUAGUACCCGGUGGCUGUUGGGAAAAAAAAAAAAAAAGAGAGAAACCAAAGCUGAAUUAAUGAAAAGGAAAGGGGAAUAGCUGUGCACAUGCCAUGAGGGGACUCACGAGAGCAUUAACAGCUGGAAGCUCUCCUGGCAGCCAUGGAAGAGGCACCUAUUUUGCAAGCACAGGGAAGAUGAUGCAGCCAAAAUUAGCACUGGAUGCAAUUUUGUUGUGGCUGGGUUUUCCCUGGGGCAGAUCUUGGAUGUGUCAAACCUUUUGCCCUCGUUCAGAGCAAAGAGGGGACAUCAGCGGCUGUUCCCCACCGUGAUCCAAGAGAGCCAAGGCUUCCAGCUGCCCAGGCAGGACUCUCAGGGAGCACAGUUACCAUUCAGCAAGGGAAGGGAAGGAAAGGACCUUCGGCACAGUGCAGAGCAUCCUCCUCAGAGCCAGCACAGCCAGAGCUGAGGUCCCUGAUCAGAACAGAAGGGAGACAGGGUUAAGCCUCUACCAAAUACACACCCUUCACACCUUCCCCGGAGCGCUCACCU